GAUGAACGCUGGCGGCGUGCCUAAUACAUGCAAGUCGAGCGAACAGACGAGGAGCUUGCUCCUCUGACGUUAGCGGCGGACGGGUGAGUAACACGUGGAUAACCUACCUAUAAGACUGGGAUAACUUCGGGAAACCGGAGCUAAUACCGGAUAAUAUAUUGAACCGCAUGGUUCAAUAGUGAAAGACGGUUUUGCUGUCACUUAUAGAUGGAUCCGCGCCGCAUUAGCUAGUUGGUAAGGUAACGGCUUACCAAGGCGACGAUGCGUAGCCGACCUGAGAGGGUGAUCCGCCACACUGGAACUGAGACACGGUCCAGACUCCUACGGGAGGCAGCAGUAGGGAAUCUUCCGCAAUGGGCGAAAGCCUGACGGAGCAACGCCGCGUGAGUGAUGAAGGUCUUCGGAUCGUAAAACUCGGUUAUUAGGGAAGAACAAAUGUGUAAGUAACUAUGCACGUCUUGACGGUACCUAAUCAGAAAGCCACGGCUAACUACGUG
Molecule: ribosomal RNA, 497 nt
Filed under: uncultured bacterium
Lineage: Bacteria
Description: partial 16S ribosomal RNA
Rfam family: Bacterial small subunit ribosomal RNA
Source: RNAcentral